AACAAGGCGUACCUGCGGACCUGCGGAGGGAUCAUUACCGAGUUUACAACUCCCAAACCCCUGUGAACAUACCACUUGUUGCCUCGGCGGAUCAGCCCGCUCCCGGUAAAACGGGACGGCCCGCCAGAGGACCCCUAAACUCUGUUUCUAUAUGUAACUUCUGAGUAAAACCAUAAAUAAAUCAAAACUUUUAGCAAUGGAUCU
Molecule: unclassified non-coding RNA, 204 nt
Filed under: soil metagenome
Description: partial contains 5.8S ribosomal RNA, internal transcribed spacer 2, and large subunit ribosomal RNA
Source: RNAcentral